Pelobates cultripes (western spadefoot toad) is the source of this 86-nucleotide non-coding RNA. Lineage: Eukaryota; Metazoa; Chordata; Amphibia; Anura; Pelobatidae. The record is from the annotation of a GenBank genome assembly.
CGAGGAAGUGGAGACAAGGUUUCGGCUCUUCUCUGAGCCUUUAUCAAGCCAGGCUUGAGGAGCCGAAACCUUGUCUCUACUUCCUU